UACGGGGGGGGUAAGCGUUGUUCGGAAUUACUGGGCGUAAAGGGUUCGUAGGCGGCCAACUAAGUCAGACGUGAAAUCCCUCAGCUUAACUGGGGAACUGCGUGUGAUACUGGAUGGCUUGGAUCCGGGAGAGGGAUGCGGAAUUCCAGGUGUAGCGGUGAAAUGCGUAGAUAUCUGGAGGAACACCCGUGGCGAAGGCGGCUCUCUGGGACGGUACUGACGCUGAGACGCGAAAGCGUGGGGAGCGAACAGG
RNAcentral lists this ribosomal RNA (253 nucleotides) under uncultured bacterium. Its description in RNAcentral is "partial 16S ribosomal RNA". It matches the Rfam family "Bacterial small subunit ribosomal RNA", at positions 524 to 776 of the family's 1533-position model. The record is from RNAcentral.